RNAcentral lists this unclassified non-coding RNA (490 nucleotides) under Mycoplasma sp. RNAcentral describes it as "partial contains 16S ribosomal RNA, 16S-23S ribosomal RNA intergenic spacer, and 23S ribosomal RNA". The stretch from base 1 to 120 matches the Rfam family "Bacterial small subunit ribosomal RNA", at positions 1413 to 1533 of the family's 1533-position model. The record is from RNAcentral. Lineage: Bacteria; Bacillati; Mycoplasmatota; Mollicutes; Mycoplasmatales; Mycoplasmataceae.
UGGUAUGCCCGAAGUCGGUUUUGUUAACUACGGAGACAACUGCCUAAGGCAGGACUGGUGACUGGGGUGAAGUCGUAACAAGGUAUCCCUACGAGAACGUGGGGAUGGAUUACCUCCUUUCUACGGAGUACAAUUAGUUACAACUAAAUUUUAGUAACUUGUUCUAUUUUGAUUGCAUUUCAUAAAAUUAUUUUUAAUAAUGUCAUGUAGUGCUUAGCAAUCAGCAAUAUAUAUCUAGUUUUGAGAGAACUUUCUCUCUUAAAUAUGUUCUUUGAAAACUGAAUAGUAAAGAUAAAUUAAUAUACAACGACAUCAAAAAUAUAAAAUGAUUUUGGUCAUUUUGUUUUGAUUGAACCGAGUGAUUAUUACAAAGUAAUAAUUUAUUAAAAUGUCUUUGAAUACAUCAACAAUAGGAAAAUACUAACUUUUAAAUAAGGAAGAGUGUGUAGUGGAUGCCUUGGGUCUGGAAGUCGAUGAAGGACGUGCAAAC